This 120-nucleotide small RNA is filed under the name Robertkochia marina. RNAcentral's name for it is "6S-Flavo RNA". It matches the Rfam family "6S-Flavo RNA". Lineage: Bacteria; Pseudomonadati; Bacteroidota; Flavobacteriia; Flavobacteriales; Flavobacteriaceae. The record is from Rfam by way of RNAcentral.
ACUCAACAAGAAUCCAUUAAAAAAGGUGAGUUCGAAUUGUAAAAGCAUGCCACUAUCGGUUUUACCGAUUGGGUGGAUCCUUGAUCAGUUCGGUAGCCUUAAACCUGUUAUUCGGAGUUU